AUGGAGUCCGGCGGUGCAGGCGAGGUGCGGCACUGGAACGCCGACGUCAACGGCGUCUCCCUCCACGUCGCCGAGCAGGGCCCCGCCGCCGGCCCGGCGGUGCUCCUCCUCCACGGCUUCCCGGAGCUCUGGCUCUCCUGGCGCCACCAGAUGGCCGCUCUCGCCGCCCGCGGCUUCCGCGCCCUCGCCCCCGACCUCCGCGGCUACGGCGACUCCGACGCCCCCGCGGACCCCGCCGCCUACACCAUGCUCCACGUCGUCGGCGACGUGGUCGCGCUCCUCGACCACCUCCGCCUCCCCAAGGUGGUGGUGGUGGGUCACGACUGGGGUGCGCAGGUGGCGUGGCAUUUCUGCCUGUUCCGGCCGGACCGGGUGCGCGCCGUCGUCGCGCUGGGGAUCCCGUUCUUCCCCCGCUCCCCUCGUCCGAUGGCGGAGAUGUUCGCGGCGCGCGGCGACGGGUUCUACAUCACGCAGUUCCAGGAGCCUGGAAGAGCUGAAAAGGCAUUUGCUCGGUACGACGUCGCGACUGUCCUAAAGAAGUUCUACUCCCUUCAAUUAGAUGACCUUGCUGCUCCUCCUGGAGUAGAGAUCAUAGAUUUUUUCGAGGCGUCAUCAUCCCCACUUCCUUGGAUGACCGAGGAAGAACUGGGGCAGUAUGCCGAGAAGUUUCAGAAGUCUGGCUUCACCGGACCCCUCAACUACUACCGCGCCAUGGACACGAACUGGAGGCUUACUGCGCCCUGGCACGGUGCAAAGAUCACGGUGCCUGCGAAGUUCAUCGGGGGUGAGAAGGACGUCGGUGUCGAGUCCUUUGGAGUCAAGCGCUACAUCGAGAGCGGGGGUUUCAAGUCCAAUGUUCCAGACCUUGAGGUUUCCAUCAUUGAAGGCCACCAUUUCCUCCAGCAAGAGCAGGCCGAGAGGGUGAACUCUGAGAUACUGUCCUUCCUGGACAAGCUUUCUGGCGAGGAAGCACAUAAUUAA
This 981-nucleotide ribosomal RNA is filed under the name Triticum aestivum (bread wheat). RNAcentral's name for it is "partial small subunit ribosomal RNA". The record is from RNAcentral. Lineage: Eukaryota; Viridiplantae; Streptophyta; Magnoliopsida; Poales; Poaceae.